UAUUUUUUCUCAUCUUAGUUUGCUAUUUUGGCGCGAUUUUGACAAUUUCUGGCGCAUUCCACUUAUUUACUUUAGCGGCCAUAGGGCAAUGGUUUACUAACGGGAGAUGUGAUGAAUUGCAGCGGCAAUACUUGGAAUAUAAAGAAGAAGUGAAACAAUUAUGAUACCUAUUAUUUUUUAUAAUGACAGAAGGAACGUGGAAGAAAAAACUUUUUGUGCAGCAUGUGAAAACAAGGAAAUAGAAUGAAAGAAGGACUGCUACUUUUCAUGCUCCCGAAACCAGCCACCUCAUCAUCAUGGCAUGCUGCAUUGGAGCUCUGCUGGAGUUUGCUGAUGACAGGAUGCUGAAGGGCUGAAGCUGGCUGCUGGUAGCUCUGGCAGGAGUCCAAGUGUCCACCAGCUCAAUAUCCGACGCCGCCGCGUCGCCGCCGUGCGGCACUCCGCGGAGACGGGGACGGCGGUCAUGAUUGAAGACACCGCAUUUCCCGCCUGGACUGUCCGGUCGGAGACUGGUAAUCCCUCCGGUGAGCCGCACACCGUGGAGCUACUGCACCGCGCGUGUCCACCCGCAGCGCAGUGCCAGCAACGGUGCCGUGAGUGCGACAUCUGCGUGCAUAUGACGCAGUGCAACUGUCACGACUCGCGGCUCAGUGUUAACUGUCAGUGUGACAGUGCGGCUCGCGCUCGUUUUAGCGAGGUGCUCUGUUGUAUAUAACCACCUUGAUGGAGACCUAUGUGCUGCUGCUUGAGUUUCAAUGUACAGUUUUAUGCAUCAAACUAGCGUAAGUAAAUGGCACUGCCAGAGGUCAAUUUGAAGCGCAAUUAGUACCCAUAACCCAGCUGGGUUGAGCGAGUCAUGUGACUAGUCCCGAUGAACGUACUGUUUCGAUGUCGUCAGUCGUAGACUUUUGUAAACCAUUCGUUUCGAAGCUCUGUGUUGUGUUGUUCGGGACCGCAGUUGUUUUAGCAGUUUGCUUUAUGCGUCGUACGCUGACAGAACGCUGGUCGUACACAGGUCAUGUGUUUCCUUUCGCCCCUAAUGGGUUACUGCGGUACCUAUGCAGUUGGAAUGGUUGGAAUGUGUCUCGAGACACUAACUGGUCGCACUUGGUUGUGAAAAUGACACUAGCUGGUCGGAUUUGGUUUCAAGCUGCGCUUGGAAAUCGUGCAAUUUUAUUUGCAUUUUGCAAUGCAAUUUUAUUGCCGUUACCGUAUUGGUAGAUAGUGUCAGAAGUUGGCCAUUUGAUGCGUUGUCACUUGUCAGACGCUGUUGCCUUAGUACUGACGAAUUGACGGGCCGCGUUUGUGUUCCUGUUAAGAAACGGAUCUCAAUAUAAGGUGAUUCAGAGG
RNAcentral lists this long non-coding RNA (1350 nucleotides) under Amphibalanus amphitrite. Its description in RNAcentral is "uncharacterized LOC122388812". The record is from RNAcentral. Lineage: Eukaryota; Metazoa; Arthropoda; Thecostraca; Balanomorpha; Balanidae.